Molecule: long non-coding RNA, 225 nt
Filed under: Lathyrus oleraceus (garden pea)
Lineage: Eukaryota; Viridiplantae; Streptophyta; Magnoliopsida; Fabales; Fabaceae
Description: Pisum sativum (pea) long non-coding RNA (PSAT_LNC015061)
Source: RNAcentral
AAAGAACACACCUUCCAACAGAAUUUUGUUAGGUUUAUCCUUUAAGGGGAACCCAAGCUGACGGCGAGCCAAAACAGGAGUGUAAUUAAUUCCACCACACGUACCAAGAAAAGGAACAAUGGAGAACUCACCACAAGAAUCAAUAAUCUGGACACCAUCAUACACACGGUUAUACCAAAAGAUAUCAUCAUUAGUGAGAGACAUAAGUCUCAUAGACCACCGUAG